UACGGAGGGGGCUAGCGUUGUUCGGAAUUACUGGGCGUAAAGCGCACGUAGGCGGCUUUGUAAGUUAGAGGUGAAAGCCCAGGGCUUAACCCUGGAAUUGCCUUUAAGACUGCAUCGCUAGAAUCGUGGAGAGGCGAGUGGAAUUCCGAGUGUAGAGGUGAAAUUCGUAGAUAUUCGGAAGAACACCAGUGGCGAAGGCGACUCACUGGACACGUAUUGACGCUGAGGUGCGAAAGCGUGGGGAGCAAACAGG
RNAcentral lists this ribosomal RNA (253 nucleotides) under uncultured bacterium. Its description in RNAcentral is "partial 16S ribosomal RNA". It matches the Rfam family "Bacterial small subunit ribosomal RNA", at positions 524 to 776 of the family's 1533-position model. The record is from RNAcentral.